ACAUAAUGAUCAAAAUUUCUUGGUUGUCAGGUUUAGCAUCUCGCUCAUUAAAACUGUUUAAAAACACACAGGACAAUAUGCUGUUACUGAAUGACAACACUCAUAAUAAUGGCCUUGACAAAGACUUCUCCAUGCAGUCAAUCUUUAUUAUAGCAGUAUUCUCAUAUUCACAUCAAGUACAUAGAACUUUUUGCCUUUUAUAUAAUACAGAGUUCUUUAAAUAACUUUACACAGAAAUAAUUUUCCUCAAUCUGAAUUUCAAUUUUGUUGUUUUAAAUCUCCAUGCUCUCUAGCCAACUGAACAGUAUUUCCCAUUGUUUAGAUUAACAUGAGAAAAAACUCCAAAGUACAAAUGAAGGGACCUGAGUAGGAAAGGACCUAGAUAUAAAAAAAAGGCGUAAGAAUCAAAGAAAAAUAAUUUGAACAAGCAGUCACUCCAUGGAUGAGAAGACAGGAGGGGGAAAUGUCACCGAUCUGAAUUUUUUAUGACUUGAAAAGUUAAAUAAAAUUACUCAUCAUUUAUGCAAAAGCAGAUAUAGAAACCUAUAAAUAAUUAUGAAAAGACCCAAACUUUUCACUGCCUAUAUACCACAAACUCUAUGGGAUCCUCUCCAAACUUUGGCAGUAACAUAGUAGAGAGGAAGGCUUGCAUGUUGUACUACAUAAUUUAGAGUGAUAGGGUGGGAGGGUCAUUUAAAUGAAAACUUUUCCCUUCUCCCUGGGAGAUCCCUCAAUCCAGGAUAUGACAAAGGAAGGACAAAGGAAGAGUUCUCUUGCACGCUGUUCAAACCAAAUAGUAAUGACAACUAUCUUUUUAGCUAAACUACUGAAUGUGACACACCCAGGGAAAUAUGUCAACACAACAGUGAAACUGAAUUGCCCCAUAUGGGGAAAAAGAUCAGUUGUACCCUUCUAGGAGAAUCAGCUCAGUUGGAAGGAGGGACAGUGGGGAGGGGGAAGCAAAGAGAGGAAGGACAAAGUGCAAACCAACACAUGAGAUCACCACAUACACACAUCACUGAGAUUUAAUCCUUCAAAUCUAGAUGGCAUUAAAGGAGACCAAAUCUGACCAUCAGUUCAUAUGUUAUAUGGUAGAACAAAGGAAUACAAUGAGGACCUAAUAAUUUUUCAAAUGAUGUAAAAACACAGUUUAUAUAUGUACAAGUAUAUAAACUAAUGAUAGAACAUGAAAACAAAAGACAUUUUUGUUAGAAUGAACAAGAACAAAAAGGCUUAAGUUUAAAUAGCUGGUUUCAAUCAGGUAAGGAGUACACAAAAGGAUUAGGAAGGAAUGAUGUGUUUUGUAGGAUUUUUUUUUUUUUUUAAACUUCACAGCUUUGAAUAAAAAGCACAUUUAUUGCACUCUUACAUUUUAUUUUCAGAUAAUUAUAAUUUAUUUCCCGCCCUCAUCACCAUCUCCCCUAUUCUUGUAACUAUUCCCUCCCCAUCCCCCCUAAAUACUCACCACCCAAGUUUGGUCCAUUUUCUAUCCAUUUGUGCCCAGAUUGAAUUUCAAUGCUUAAGCUAUCCUGAAAUUUCCUCCUAAUUCUUGCGCUCGCGCGUACACGCGUACACACACACACACACACACACACACACACACACAGUAUUCAACCAGGGUUUAACAGAUACAAAUGCAACAUAGAAUAUUAGUCAAAAUACCCCCAACUCCUGACUUGACCCCUCCCUCAAAAAAGUCGCUCAUUCCUCUGCUUUCCUCUAUUUCAGAUGUAAAUUUCAUGCCUGAUUCUCUUAAAACUAUGGUUGAAACAGGGUAGGUAGGCAAUGGGGACUAGACAAGGUGUAUAUCGCUUGCUAAGAUGAUCAGAUGGUUGGAACAAAUCUCUCUUGACAGUAAUACAAAUAUUUUAUUCUUUAUUGGCAAAGAGUACUUCUACUACAAAAAGUUAUUUCUUUAAAAGAAAUAAAACACAUAUAAACCAAAAAAGAUCGCAUCCAACACACACACACACACACACACACACACAAAGGUGUGGGGAGGGAAGGAAACACUUGGAUGCAUCUACAGGCACAACUGGUUUGACCAUUAUGAUAGUCAAAGAGAGUUAAAAAAAAACAAAAAAAAACCACCCCACAAACCAUUAAGUUUAACCAACAAUUAAAAACAAUACAAAACGCAGACCUGAACUGAUCAUUGUUAACAGAAGGAGGCUCUGCUUUAAUCAUGUCUUUUCUGAGGUGGGGACUAACUCAAAGACAUGACUUACUCAUGACUUACAAAAAAAACCCCAACAAAAUACUGCAAUUCUGAUUUAAGAACUCAAAGCUAAAUCUCUAUCCUGCUUACCUUCUUCAAUAUUCUUUUUGGGAACUGUUAUUGCUUUUUACCAUAUCAUUCAAGCCUAAAUUUGUCUUUGUCAAAAUUGUGUGAGUGUACACAUCUGUACACACAUGGCCUGGAAUCUGGUAGGAACACACAUCUGAAGAGGGAAAGUUUAAUAAAGAUUACCUUCUUCGGUGCUGAUACAUCACAAACUAUAUCAGUAUUUAAAAUUCUACUGAAGCUCGAAAUGAGAAAAAUGAACACAAUGGACAUGCCAUUAUACUCUAGUCAAGACAUACCACCAUUGCUGGCAAAGUCAGAUAGGCUACCUUAUAUAUAACAUGUGUUAAGAGGGGUUUCUAAUGAAGAACCCAAUAACUAAAGAGUAUGCUUGUGGACUUUCUGGGGGGUAGGACAAAGGACAAAGAGUUUGGGCACAGAGGAGGAAGAAAGAUCUAAGAAACUAAACCAUGUUGCCCAAUCUUAUUUACCUGUCAAAGACAACCUUUGCCUUUUCCAUACACUGUCAACAUUCUUAUGGGAAAUCAGGAUCUUGUCCACAAUGGGACAGUCCCUCCCCAUCUGGCUCGCUCAGAUCACACAAACAGUGUUAGUAGUAUAAUCCUAUCUAGUUUGCAAAAUGCAAAGGAAGCUGAAUCCCAAGAGGGAGUUCCUCAUUUGGUGGUGUAGACAAGGUGGCUUUACAAAAUUUAGGCAUUGGGUGGAAUAAUUCUACCAACUGCAGUAGUAGUUUAGAAAGUUGGUAUUAAAAUGCUGUCCCAUGGUAUAUUUUUUCCUUUCUGACUAUCUGCAGAAAGUUCACAAUAUGGUCAGCAAGUAUAGAGAAUCUUAAUUUCACUUCUCGAACAUCCGCCCAACAUCAUUUCUACUGUGCAAAACAUUCAUGCUUUAGUGGCUGAAAGGGAAUAGAAAUAAUUUCUCCAAAAAUGCUGCAAUUCUACUUUUAAUCUAAUGGCUUCAUUAAAAAGAAAAAAAAAAACCAACUUUUUUUUUUGUAUGCAAAGAUCCAUUAGUGGGCUCUCUCAUUUUAUUCUCUGGUUUAGGUUACAAAAUUUAAAGAAGAUGCUUUCUUUUUUUUGAGGGGACUGGGGGAUGAUGUCUAUGCUGCUUUACCCAAAUAACAAACAACAGCGAUUAAUACCAGUCACUGCUCUCAUGUCUACAUUGCUAUAUUUUAGCUUUUAUUGCAUCACAAAGGCACAGUGAGAUCAUUUGGCAAACUGUAAAGGUAACUACUGGAGUCUCACAUGCACAGUGUCAUCUUAGGGCCUUGAAUGGAAGUUUUCAUUAAACAUCAAGGAGCACAUUGUUUAUCAUUGGCUAGUCUGCCAUUGUCCUUUUAAGCAUCUUUAUUUAGUUUUUUACAAAGUCUUCCACUGUAUUACAUUUAUGCCCAUUUGUCAUUCUCAAGUGCUGACUUGAUAGUUGCUAAAAUGGCAACUUAGAAAAAUCAGGAUGUUUUAAAAAAAUAUCUACAAAAUCCAUGCUCCUGGCUCAGUGGGCUUGCGUAGGUAAAAAGUGAAAUAUGUGAUAAAAAUUUAUUUAAAUUUGUUUUUUCUGCAUUUCUGACAGUUUAGAGAAACCUGAAACUAGCUUAGAAUAUGUGCUUUUAGCAAGCCAUCUUCCUGAAAUCAGAGCAGUUAAGUGAAGAAUCCACUUCAUUUAUUUUAUAUCUGUUAAAAAGCUCAUUAUUAGUACAGUGCCUGUCACAUAAAAAAUGUUUCUUCCCUUCCCUUUUUCCUUUUCCUUCAGUCAACAGACUGAACAGCUGCGAACAGUGAACAGACAUUAACUUCCAGCUGCUAUCUUAUAUUUAUGAAGAGUAUCAAAAUGCAGCACCCAAACAGAUCAGGCUUUCUUGGGGCCAUACUUGUACCUUUUAGAAUGGAUAUGAUAUUUCUAAAUCUUUUCAACAGUUAGUGCUAAACUGUACUGUCUGUCCUUUGAGAUUUACACCUUCACAUAAAUUUACAUCUUCACUUUAUUCAUUUAAGUCCUAGACUGAUAUAGUUACUUUAUCCUACUUCAAAAGGGAGAUCAUGAAUGCACACAUCAAUGAAUUGAGAAUAUCAACAUAUUCCAAACAAGAGACACUAUCUUUUAUUCAUCUUCGCCAUUUGUAGAAUAUCCUGUCAGCAUCAAGCACUGAUAUGAAAAUAUACAUAUGAAAAAAGGAUGAGAUCUGUAGAGGAACCCACAACAGUACUUUUUUGAAAUGUGUUCAAAAUAAAGUGCUGUGUCCUACUCGUGGGUGCUCAGAUUGAGUUGGGGGGAAUAUUUUUGUAUUAUUUUUAAAGGUACAUGGCACUAUGAUUUUCUUCCAAAAUCUCAAUGUAAAUGUUUUAAAAAAAAAUCAUUGCUGUGAGUUCCUGUGCUCUAAGUCACUCUAACAUUUGCUGAUAGGUUCCUGAUAGAAGCAGUAAUAGAACUUUUAGGAAAUGGUAUUUGACAGCUAAUUUGCCUACCAGUUCCACACUUAGAGACUCUAUAC
This is a long non-coding RNA of Sarcophilus harrisii (Tasmanian devil), 4796 nucleotides long. Lineage: Eukaryota; Metazoa; Chordata; Mammalia; Dasyuromorphia; Dasyuridae. The record is from Ensembl.